Alexandromys fortis (reed vole) is the source of this 2012-nucleotide long non-coding RNA. RefSeq lists it as uncharacterized. Lineage: Eukaryota; Metazoa; Chordata; Mammalia; Rodentia; Cricetidae. The transcript has 7 exons. The record is from RefSeq and is a predicted model, not a curated record.
GUCAUGGGCUUGGAUGAGAAGAGGCAGGAUGGAGGCAGGCAGAAAGUUGAGCUCUGUGUGUUGCUCCAGCCAAGGAGAGCGAUGGAGGCUGCAUUCCAGCUUGCGCCUGAACGCACAGGAGGGAGGCCACCACCCACCAGCUAUUCGGGUGGGAAGCUGCAGCCCGUCUGCUCUGGCUGAAUUCCGGGUCUGUCUCUGGGUCACUGAGUGGGCUGGGGUGAGUGGGCGGCAGGGCAGAGGGCAGAGCUGUACCACCUGGACCAGCCAAUCCUCAUCCCUUGGGCAGAGACAUCCCUAGGACUUGUCCCAGUUCCUGGGGAAUGCAGAGGCAGAUGUGCUUCAGGGGGAGGAAGCCGGUGGAGAUGGGGGCAGGGGGGACACCCUGAACUGCUCCCACAUAUCCCCCAGUCCUCUAGCCCUCCUUGUCCGACUCUACUGUUCCCUGUGUAUUAGCUGAGAAACGUGGCAUACAAAUGUCUAGGUGCCAGCCUGACAGUUCCUGAGAGUAGAGGCAAGCAGAUUCCAAAGGUGGGGUGGGGGUGGCCAGGAGUGGGGUGGUAUCCCCAUAGCUGUGGAAAUCAGACUAGGAAUGAGGAAGGUGAGGACAAGGCCCUGAACACCUGAAGACCAGCGGCCUGAAGGAACCACAGACACAGCCUGGGGACUACUACACCAGGGACCACUGCCUGGGCUAGAGGCAGCAGGGCUUGGCAGGCCUGGAUGGCUAUCUUGAGCAACUCCAAGAUAGCUCACCCAUUUCCACCUCCUUUCUCCUAGCCAAGGUGGGCAGAGGAGGAAUUCUUCAUUUCAAGCAGCCUGUCCCAGAGAGCUGGGAAUGGACACACUUCUCCUGAGAGCUCCAGUAUCCUGGAGGCCAGCCCAGAGUUUCCCUGGUUUGGAAGAGGUAUCAGCCCAGGGCCAGUAUGGCCUGCAGCAUGGCCAGUGAGGUCCCUGCCCGUUGCUGGACAUUGGCAGGCCUGCAUGGAUAUUGACAUCAGUGCCUCAUCCAAUCAUGGAGCCGUCUCCACGGAACCCACCCAGCCUCCAUCAGAGUGACAGUCUCUCAGGGUCACAUGAGUCUGCCCGGCACUUUAUCUGGCCUUCAUCCAUCUAGAAGGAGGAUUACCUGGUUUCUUUUCUUUAAUAUUUCUUUAUUGCAUUGUUUGGAUCAGAAGACACUUUCGGGGUCAGUCCUUCUGCCAUGUGGGUUCUAAACCUCAAACUCAGGUUGAAACAUUCCACCUUGCAGGGGAGCUCCUUAAACAAGAAGGUAUACAACUCAAAAUAUCUCCAGGAAGACCCUGAACCUGACCAGAUUCACUAGGUCCCCCUCCCUGCCAGAGUAAACUAUAAACACCGAGAGUCCCUCUUAGGCCAAAGAAGAUGAGCUGCAAAGAAAACUCCUCAGAGGACAAAAGCUGCAAAGAAGAUUCUACGACCAGACCGGCUGGCUGCCUGGAAGAAGCAGAGACUGUGCAUCCUACAGCUACAAGGAGAAAGACCACUGACCCAAAUCGUGGCUGAAUUAGUGAAAACAGGCUUCAUUCAUGUAGACAGAAGGGUCGCAGAAGACCACAUAGUCCUGGGUGUUAGAGGAUGAAGCUUCAGCUCCCAGCAGAGAAACUCCGCUGCAGGAAUGUGACAGUGGGGCCUGAACACAGACUUCAGACACAGAUGGUGACCUUCAAAGCCACCCAAGGUUAUAGAAUGAAGAAGGUAGUUUCGGAGCACCAAGGGGUUCUGGGUAACUGGGUAACUGCUGCCUUUGAAGGGAAUGCCGGCAGGGGGCUAAGCAGUGGCCUCCUCAGAUGCUCAUCUGCUGUACCCUUGGUUCACUCAGAAGACCUGGUCUCAGGCCAUUGAGGAAGCUUAGGAGGUAAAGAACCUGCAGUUAAGCUUGACAGCCUGAGUUUGAGACACAAGACCCACAUGGUGGAAGGCGAGAGCCAACUUCUGCAGCUUACUUAGUCUCUGACCUCCACAGGUGCACACACCACACACACACACACACA